GAUGAAGAACGCAGCGAAAUGCGAUACGUAGUGUGAAUUGCAGAAUUCAGUGAAUCAUCGAAUCUUUGAACGCACAUUGCGCCCUUUGGUAUUCCAAAGGGCAUGCCUGUUCGAGCGUCAUUUGUACCCUCAAGCUUUGCUUGGUGUUGGGCGUCUUGUCUCUAGCUUUGCUGGAGACUCGCCUUAAAGUAAUUGGCAGCCGGCCUACUGGUUUCGGAGCGCAGCACAAGUCGCACUCUCUAUCAGCAAAGGUCUAGCAUCCAUUAAGCCUUUUUUUCAACUUUUGACCUCGGAUCAGGUAGGGAUACCCGCUGAAAUUAAGCAUAUCAAUAAGCGGAGGA
RNAcentral lists this unclassified non-coding RNA (341 nucleotides) under soil metagenome. RNAcentral describes it as "partial contains 5.8S ribosomal RNA, internal transcribed spacer 2, and large subunit ribosomal RNA". The stretch from base 1 to 120 matches the Rfam family "5.8S ribosomal RNA", at positions 35 to 154 of the family's 154-position model. The record is from RNAcentral.